GGAAAAGGGCCAGCCCCGUGUCCCGCGCGCCUGGCUCUGCUUUGCAGUUUGCCGGAGAGCAGAGAGGCAGUCGAGCAGGAGGCGCACAGUUCGGGUCGUGUCACCAUUCCUUCGCUUGCUGACCUGCCCAGAAGCAGGGGACGGCGGCAGCACAGUGAGGUGGGCCCUGUGACAGCGUGGAAGUCGUGAUUUGCCCUCUUCCACUACAGAUGGAGUGCAGUCUGGGCUGCAGGGAUCCAGGAGGCUAGUGAAGCACCCCUGGUGGGCUUAUGUGAAGAUACCAAUCUGUGUGCCAUCCGCGCCCAGAGAGUCGCCAUCAUGCCCAAAACCAUCCAAUUGGCCUGCCGGAUACGGGGAGAGAGAGCUUAAGUGAAGGCAGUUUUUGUGGCGUUGUGUAGUAAAUUCUGUAAAGUACUUUGGUUUAAUUUGUGACUUUUUUUGGGAAGAAAUUGUUUAUAAUAUGUUGCAUUUGUACAUAAGUCAUUCCAUCUUUCACUCAGGAUGAAUGUGAAAAGUGACUGUUACGGACCUCAGUGAUGUGAGUGCUGAUGUGAGUGCCGUUGCUCAGGAGAGGCAAGGUGCUAAGAUGCACAGGGGAUGGGGGAUACGUCUUGCUUCUCAUGAGGCAUUUUUCUGUAUGUUAAUGACCUGUUGGGUAGCUAUUAAGGUACUAGAAUUGAUAAACGUGUACAGGGUCCUUUUGCAAUAAAACUGGUGAUGACUUGACCCAAGUGUUUAACAAGUGGGGCUGGUACGUCUCACGGUACAUCACUGCGGUAGAAUGUGGGCGUUUGCAAGAGUGGAGGUACAGGUCUUAACCACAGUGUAACUUACAGUUUCCUUAAAAAAA
Molecule: long non-coding RNA, 850 nt
Organism: Octodon degus (degu)
Lineage: Eukaryota; Metazoa; Chordata; Mammalia; Rodentia; Octodontidae
Exons: 3
Source: RefSeq, a predicted model, not a curated record